Molecule: long non-coding RNA, 75 nt
Organism: Mustela erminea (ermine)
Lineage: Eukaryota; Metazoa; Chordata; Mammalia; Carnivora; Mustelidae
Exons: 3
Source: RefSeq, a predicted model, not a curated record
AUCUUUUAAAAAAUUAUUUAUGUAUUUUAGGUAUUAACACCUUACCAGAUGUAUCAUUUACAGAUAUCUUCCCUC